AAGUCGUAACAAGGUUUCCGUAGGUGAACCUGCGGAAGGAUCAUUAAAGAUUUGCCAAAGCUCACGCUGCGGCUUUCUAUCCCACACCGUGAACCGUGGCUUCGGCCUCGCACAUAGUGUAAUGAAUGUAUAUAUCAUAACAAAAUAAAA
This 150-nucleotide unclassified non-coding RNA is filed under the name plant metagenome. RNAcentral describes it as "partial contains small subunit ribosomal RNA and internal transcribed spacer 1". The stretch from base 1 to 46 matches the Rfam family "Eukaryotic small subunit ribosomal RNA", at positions 1786 to 1831 of the family's 1831-position model. The record is from RNAcentral.